UUUUGACCGGUCUGAAACACGGACCAAGGAGUCUAGCAUGUGUGCGAGUUAUUGGGUAAUACAUUCAAUAUUUAUAUUGUGUGUAUAUAUGAGAAAACCUAAGAGCGAAAUUAACGUAACUGUUAAUGGGAUUACAUUUGUAAGUCUUCACGGAUUUACGAAUUUCCAUCCCGGGGCGAUUUAUCUAUUAAAACUAGCAAUAGUUUUAUAAAAUCGUACCUUGAGCAUACAUGGUAGGACCCGAAAGAUGGUGAACUAUGCCUGAUCAGGUUGAAGUCAGGGGAAACCCUGAUGGAGGACCGAAGCAGUUCUGACGUGCAAAUCGAUUGUCAGAAUUGGGUAUAGGGGCGAAAGACCAAUCGAACCAUCUAGUAAUCCAGACUUAAUAAAUCACCUGGCCUCUCUUUCCUCCAGCCAAUUCAGGAACAGG
This 430-nucleotide ribosomal RNA is filed under the name Phlebotomus argentipes. Its description in RNAcentral is "eukaryotic LSU rRNA". It matches the Rfam family "Eukaryotic large subunit ribosomal RNA", at positions 642 to 1014 of the family's 3401-position model. RNAcentral also lists the same sequence under 2 other names. Lineage: Eukaryota; Metazoa; Arthropoda; Insecta; Diptera; Psychodidae. The record is from RNAcentral.